This is a long non-coding RNA of Lutra lutra (Eurasian river otter), 1713 nucleotides long. RefSeq lists it as uncharacterized. NCBI's taxonomy places the organism in Eukaryota, Metazoa, Chordata, Mammalia, Carnivora, Mustelidae. The record is from RefSeq and is a predicted model, not a curated record. The transcript has 2 exons.
AUUUCUUUCCUGAUACUUUGAGUUCUACACAAAAGGAAAAUUAGGCAAGAAAGCAUGGGGAAAGGAAGCAUAGGAAGAAUUAUCAAUCCGUUUACAUCUCUUUGGAAGUUGCUAAAAAGAAUCUAGCAUCUUUGGAGAUGCUAGAAAGAAUAAGCACAUUUCUUUCAUUUACAUAAUCUUUUUCAAAUUCCCUCCCUCAACCUGUUUUUAAAGUCUGGAGUCUUAAAGCAGACCCACAGUUGAUUUGUCAUUAGCCUUGAGCUGAAGAAUAAAGGAUAGGAUCUUUCUGACCUGUGAGUUUCUGGAGCUUUUUCAAUUUUUGCUGCUUUGAAGUCUAGAGAGGCACAAAGAGAAAAGAAUAAAAUCAGAAAAUGUUCUAGGUUAGAGAAUCAAGAGCACAUUUCCUCUUACAGACACAAAUAUUGAUCCAGUUGGUGUCCAUAACCACAGCACAACUGGCACCCCAUGCAUGUAUUCAUAGAUCAUUUAAUGAGUGCUUACUAAGUUCUAGGCAUUAGGUUGGGUGCUAGGACUACAAAGAUAAAUAUGACCCCUGUAUUCUGGGAAUUCACAUUAAUGGGGAAAACAGACGUCUAAACAGCUAAGUUAUAAUACAGUGUGGUAAAUAUAUAACACAUAAAUAAUAUAUAAAUAAAUAUAUAACAGAAACAUCUAAAUAUAUUGAUAAAUAAAUUUAUUAAAAUUUAUAGAUAUAUUAAUAAAUAUAUAACAGAAAUAUAAGUGUUAGAGAAUAAAAGGACAGGGAUUAACUGCCUGGGAGAGAUGGGAAAAAUUCCUCAAGAAGUGGCCAUUUGUACUGGAGUCUGAAGAAUCAGCAGAAAGUUUUUAGGUGAAAAAAGAGCAUUCCAGGCAAGUCAAAAGCAUCAUCGUCAAGAAGAUUGUAAAGUCAUGAGUGUCAGGUGCACAUUUGCUAAGACAAAAGCUGAAAAUAGAAGUGGAAGCCAGAUUUUGCCAAAUGAUGGAAUUUUUAUUUUAUCCUUUAGGUCAGAAUUUCCUGAUCAGUAACGUAAACUCCUGAGUUUUUUGCAAGCAUGUUCCAGGUCACUUUAAAGGCAGAAAUUACAUUUGUUACCAUUUCAAAUAAAACAGUUUUUAUUUCUCCCUUUUGAAUCAUGACAUCAGUCUCGGAGAGUGUAUCAUAAGAGCCUACAUAAUAUUAUUCAUAGUAUUGCCAAAUGUUUUAGCUAAACAAAAAGUGUUAAAAGCAAAAAUUCUCCCAAGAAUGGUGGUUCAACAUAAGAAAGUCAAUCAAUGUGAUACACCACAUUAAUAACACAAAGGGGGAAAAAGCUGGACAGUUAAUCUCAACUGGGGGAGAAAAAGGAUUGCCAAAAUCCCACACCUAUUCAUGAUUUAAUAAAAAAAAUAAAAACACUCAACAAACUAGGGAUAGAAGGGAAUUUCCUCAAUAUAGUAAGGGGUAUUAAUGAAAAACCCACAGCUAAUAUCAUUCUCAAUAGUGAAAGCCUGAGAGCUUUUCUUUUAGGGUAGUGAACAGACAAGGAUGCUCAAUUUCACUACUUUUCUUUAACAUUGUGCUAGAAACUCCAACCAGAGCAAUUAGGUAAGAAAAAUAAAAGCCAUCCUUUCCUUUGGAAAGGAAAAGUUAAACAAUCUCUAUCUCUAUUCAUAGACGACAUAAUCUUAUUUACAGAAAAUCGUAAAGAAUACACACACACACACACACACACA